AUGCAUGAGUUAACUAAGGAAAACAUUGAGCGUAUGAAUGCUAAAUAUAAACUUGCUGGAGGUAAGGGUAGAAAACAUGUUGUGUUUGCACCUGGAGAUCUUGUUUGGUUACAUUUGCGUAAGGAUAGAUUUCCUAAUUUGCGCAAAUCAAAGCUAAUGCCACGUGCUGAUGGUCCCUUUAAGGUGUUAGAGAAAAUAAAUGAUAAUGCAUAUAAACUUGAGCUGCCUGCAGAUUUUGGGGUUAGUCCCACUUUUAACAUUGCAGAUUUGAAGCCUUAUUUGGGUGAGGAAGAUGAACUUCCGUCGAGGACGACUUCAUUUCAAGAAGGGGAGGAUGAUGAGGACAUCAAUACAAUUGUUACACCCACAACCCCUGCUGCUAUACAUACUGGACCAAUUACUAGAGCUCGUGCACGCCAACUAAAUUACCAGGAACAGACCUUCGUGGUCAGGCUGACCGUGCUUCCGGCAUCGUCAGUAACCUCAGGGGAUUGGUUUAGCGAUUGCUAA
RNAcentral lists this ribosomal RNA (510 nucleotides) under Triticum aestivum (bread wheat). Its description in RNAcentral is "partial small subunit ribosomal RNA". Lineage: Eukaryota; Viridiplantae; Streptophyta; Magnoliopsida; Poales; Poaceae. The record is from RNAcentral.